UGUUAAAAAUUUUAUCAAUUUGUAUUGUUAAAAAUUGACAUAACUUAUAGAAUAACCAGAUAGUGGCCUAUGUCAUGUCAUGUGUACGUCAAGCUAACUUACGAUGAUCAUAUUUUAAGAGUAUAAAUAGAUAAAAUUUUUAACA
Gossypium raimondii (Peruvian cotton) is the source of this 145-nucleotide non-coding RNA. The record is from Rfam. NCBI's taxonomy places the organism in Eukaryota, Viridiplantae, Streptophyta, Magnoliopsida, Malvales, Malvaceae.